UACGUAGGGUGCAAGCGUUGUCCGGAAUUAUUGGGCGUAAAGAGCUCGUAGGCGGUCUGUUGCGUCGGCUGUGAAAACCCGGGGCUCAGCUUCGGGCUUGCGGUCGAUACGGGCGGGCUAGAGUUCGGUAGGGGAGACUGGAAUUCCUGGUGUAGCGGUGAAAUGCGCAGAUAUCAGGAGGAACACCGGUGGCGAAGGCGGGUCUCUGGGCCGAUACUGACGCUGAGGAGCGAAAGCGUGGGGAGCGAACAGG
This 253-nucleotide ribosomal RNA is filed under the name uncultured bacterium. RNAcentral's name for it is "partial 16S ribosomal RNA". It matches the Rfam family "Bacterial small subunit ribosomal RNA", at positions 524 to 776 of the family's 1533-position model. The record is from RNAcentral.